This 1004-nucleotide long non-coding RNA is filed under the name Lactuca sativa (garden lettuce). Its description in RNAcentral is "long non-coding RNA (LSAT_LNC008915)". Lineage: Eukaryota; Viridiplantae; Streptophyta; Magnoliopsida; Asterales; Asteraceae. The record is from RNAcentral.
ACCAUCCAUCGUUGUUGUUGUUCCCCUUCCUUCUCGUCAAUCCGAGCCGGACUCCAACACCGAAGGUAGGAAAGCCGCCGGAGGCAGCUCGCCACCCCACUACACCAACUGCUUUCCCUUUUUACUCUCGUUGUGUACUGUCGGACGGGAAUCCAACUCACAAUACCAUACAUGCCAUUCAAGAACACCCACAUACAAAUCAGUUUAUGGGGGAUGAACACCCACAAACAAAUUGAUUUCAAAAAAUGAGAACACAUACUCUCCAAAAAGAAAAACACACACAUAAAUCAAUUUCGGAAAUGAGAAAACACAAAAAAAACAGAAACACACUAUCUGAUUCCAUUUGAGGGAAUUAAUACACAUAAACACGCACAAUUUCGGUUUUGAUUCAAAUUUAGGCUUUCGAUUCUUGAGUUACCAUCUGAAAAACCCUUGGCGAAUAAAUUUGGGAAGGAGGCGAUGAUCUUCAUCUGAUUUCGUUUUUUGCUUGCAUCUAAUUUAGAUCUUCAUUGCUUACAAUUUGUAGGUUUAGUACCCCCAAGAUUCCCCAGUGAGUAAAUUGUUAGAGACUGAAAAGAAAUAGACAUAAAUGAGGUUUACCCCAAUGCUUUAAGGAAGUGAAGAAUUGAAAAGAUUGUUGGAGAAAUCAAAGAAGGCAGCAACUUGUGGUGGAACCGGAAUCACCCUAGUGAGGCGAUUGGAAUACAGAUUGAGGACAAAAAGCGGAGGAAGGUUCAGAUAUGAAAAACCUCCAUUUCCAACCUCCCAGAUUCAACUUGGUAUUUCUCCAGCAAUUUUGUUGUCUGAGAGGUCUAAAUUUAUAAAUCGUGUUUGGAUGAAAUUAGGGUGAUCGUGUGUGAACCAUAGAAAGGUAGAGACUGGAGAUGAAAGGGAUGAAGUCGAGUAAAUGUACAGACAGCAAAACCUGCAACUCCGAUCUCUCUUUUAUUUGUCCUGAUUUUAACCCAUGUGGAGAGAGAGAGAGAGAGAGAGAGAGAGAGAGA